CCUACGGGGGGCAGCAGUGAGGAAUAUUGGUCAAUGGACGAGAGUCUGAACCAGCAAAGUCGCGUGAAGGAUGACUGCCCUAUGUGUUGUAAACUUCUUUUAUAUGGGAAUAAAACAGGGUAUGCAUACCCUCUUGUAUGUACCAUAUGAAUAAGGAUCGGCUAACUCCGUGCCAGCAGCCGCGGUAAUACGGAGGAUCCGAGCGUUAUCCGGAUUUAUUGGGUUUAAAGGGAGCGUAGGUGGAUUGUUAAGUCAGUUGUGAAAGUUUGCGGCUCAACCGGAAAAUUGCAGUUGAAACUGGCAGUCUUGAGUACAGUAGAGGUAGGCGGAAUGCGUGGUGUAGCGGUGAAAUGCUUAGAUAUCACGAAGAACUCCGAUUGCGAAGGCAGCUUACUGGACUGCAACUGACACUGAUGCUCGAAAGUGUGGGUAUCAAACAGGAUUAGAUACCCUGGUAGUC
This 460-nucleotide ribosomal RNA is filed under the name uncultured bacterium. Its description in RNAcentral is "partial 16S ribosomal RNA". It matches the Rfam family "Bacterial small subunit ribosomal RNA", at positions 338 to 795 of the family's 1533-position model. The record is from RNAcentral.